Molecule: long non-coding RNA, 296 nt
Filed under: Malus domestica (apple)
Lineage: Eukaryota; Viridiplantae; Streptophyta; Magnoliopsida; Rosales; Rosaceae
Description: long non-coding RNA (MDOM_LNC014229)
Source: RNAcentral
GCUUUAUUGUAUUUGGCACAAUACAUUGAAUGAAAUAAAGCUUAUUUAUUAAUAUCUCCAAGAAAUUAUAGAUAUAUACAUACACAUGAGUUAAAACAAACAAACAGGAUGGAGCCUUCACAAAGGUUGCUCAUGUGAAGCCUCAGUACUCGGAAGUACCCCAGAAGGGGGAGGCACUGGAGAUUGAUCAUGUGGCACCCCAGUACUUAGCAAAACACCAGAAGGGGAAAGCAUCAGUUGCUUUCGGAAUCUAGCAACGAACCUCUGGUGAUCACUUUGAAUCCGACUUUCGGAUU